RNAcentral lists this ribosomal RNA (498 nucleotides) under uncultured bacterium. Its description in RNAcentral is "partial 16S ribosomal RNA". It matches the Rfam family "Bacterial small subunit ribosomal RNA", at positions 28 to 508 of the family's 1533-position model. The record is from RNAcentral.
GAUGAACGCUGGCGGCGUGCCUAAUACAUGCAAGUCGAGCGAACAGAUGAGGAGCUUGCUCCUCUGACGUUAGCGGCGGACGGGUGAGUAACACGUGGAUAACCUACCUAUAAGACUGGGAUAACUUCGGGAAACCGGAGCUAAUACCAGAUAAUAUAUUGAACCGCAUGGUUCAAUAGUGAAAGACGGUUUUGCUGUCACUUAUAGAUGGAUCCGCGCCGCAUUAGCUAGUUGGUAAGGUAACGGCUUACCAAGGCAACGAUGCGUAGCCGACCUGAGAGGGUGAUCGGCCACACUGGAACUGAGACACGGUCCAGACUCCUACGGGAGGCAGCAGUAGGGAAUCUUCCGCAAUGGGCGAAAGCCUGACGGAGCAACGCCGCGUGAGUGAUGAAGGUCUUCGGAUCGUAAAACUCUGUUAUUAGGGAAGAACAAAUGUGUAAGUAACUAUGCACGUCUUGACGGUACCUAAUCAGAAAGCCACGGCUAACUACGUGC